CAAUAGCGUAUAUUAAAGUUGUUGCAGUUAAAAAGCUCGUAGUUGGAUUUCGGGUGGGAAUGGCCGGUCCGCCGUUUCGGUGUGCACUUGCUACGCCCACCUUGCUGCCGGGGACGUGCUCUUGAGUUCACGCUCGGGACACGGAGUCGGCGAGGUUACUUUGAGUAAAUUAGAGUGUUCAAAGCAGGCCUACGCUCUGAAUACAUUAGCAUGGAAUAACACGAUAGGACUCUGGCCUAUCUUGUUGGUCUGUAGGACCGGAGUAAUGAUUAAGAGGGACAGUCGGGGGCAUUCGUAUUUCAUUGUCAGAGGUGAAAUUCUUGGAUUUAUGAAAGGCGAACUACUGCGAAAGCAUUUGCCAAGGAUGUUUUCAUUAA
This 377-nucleotide ribosomal RNA is filed under the name uncultured eukaryote. Its description in RNAcentral is "partial 18S ribosomal RNA". It matches the Rfam family "Eukaryotic small subunit ribosomal RNA", at positions 592 to 976 of the family's 1831-position model. The record is from RNAcentral.